AGUGAACGCUGGCGGUAGGCCUAACACAUGCAAGUCGAACGGCAGCACAGUAAGAGCUUGCUCUUACGGGUGGCGAGUGGCGGACGGGUGAGGAAUACAUCGGAAUCUACUUUUUCGUGGGGGAUAACGUAGGGAAACUUACGCUAAUACCGCAUACGACCUACGGGUGAAAGCAGGGGUUCUUCGGACCUUGCGCGAUUGAAUGAGCCGAUGUCGGAUUAGCUAGUUGGCGGGGUAAAGGCCCACCAAGGCGACGAUCCGUAGCUGGUCUGAGAGGAUGAUCAGCCACAUUGGAACUGAGACACGGUCCAGACUCCUACGGGAGGCAGCAGUGGGGAAUAUUGGACAAUGGGCGCAAGCCUGAUCCAGCAAUACCGCGUGGGUGAAGAAGGCCUUCGGGUUGUAAAGCCCUUUUGUUGGGAAAGAAAAGCAGCAGGUUAAUACCCCGCUGUUCUGACGGUACCCAAAGAAUAAGCACCGGCUAACUUCGUG
RNAcentral lists this ribosomal RNA (492 nucleotides) under uncultured bacterium. Its description in RNAcentral is "partial 16S ribosomal RNA". It matches the Rfam family "Bacterial small subunit ribosomal RNA", at positions 29 to 507 of the family's 1533-position model. The record is from RNAcentral.